RNAcentral lists this ribosomal RNA (657 nucleotides) under Gymnosporangium japonicum. RNAcentral's name for it is "partial 28S ribosomal RNA". It matches the Rfam family "Eukaryotic large subunit ribosomal RNA", at positions 30 to 668 of the family's 3401-position model. The record is from RNAcentral. Lineage: Eukaryota; Fungi; Basidiomycota; Pucciniomycetes; Pucciniales; Gymnosporangiaceae.
AAAUUUAAGCAUAUCAAUAAGCGGAGGAAAAGAAACUAACAAGGAUUCCCCUAGUAACGGCGAGUGAAGAGGGAUCAGCCCAAAUUUGUAAUCUGGCUCUUUUCAGAGUCUGAGUUGUAAUUUUGAGAACUGUUUUCUGCUCUGGACCAUGUACAAGUCUGUUGAAAUGCAGCAUCAUUGAGGGUGAGAAUCCUGUUCAUGAUAUGGACUACCAGAGCUUUAUGAUAUAGUCUCUAAGAGUCGAGUUGUUUGGGAAUGCAGCUCAAAGUGGGUGGUAAAUUCCAUCUAAGGCUAAAUAUUGGUGAGAGACCGAUAGCAAACAAGUACCGUGAGGGAAAGAUGAAAAGAACUUUGGAAAGAGAGUUAACAGUACGUGAAAUUGUUAAAAGGGAAACAGUUGAAGUUAGACUUGUUGUUGUUGGUUCAGCUCUUUUAAGGGUGUUUUCUAAUAAUUAACAAACCAAUGUCAAUUUUUGGGUGUUGGAUAAGGGUUAUUGAAAUGUAGCAGUUUUGGCUGUGUUAUAGUCUUUGACUUGGAUACAAUGCUUAGGAUUGAGGAUUGCAGUAAGCCAUUUAUUUGGUGGAACAAUUUAUUGUUCUUCUUGCUGAGGAUAUUGGUGAAAUAGCUUUAAUUGACCCGUCUUGAAACACGACCCA